AGCCAGAGCAGGGUUUGUUUUUGCUGUGAGUGUCCCAGAACUUUGUGUGUCCCAGGGUGUCCUGGCAGGGCUCAGCCCCACAUGGUGACACGGGUGGCACUGGGUGCUGCCCUUGCUGAGGUGAGGGAGCAGCAGGUGGCUGGACCAAGAGGUGAUUCUGCAGGAUGGUGAGAGCUGCUCUUGCAGUUUGGUAAUUCCUGUGUGGUCUUUUUGGGGUAUCACAGAAUCAUAGAAGGGUUUGGGAGUAUAGAGACCAUCUCCUUCCACCCCCAGCCAUGGGCAGGGACACCUUCCACUAUCCCAGGUUGCCCCAAGCCCAGUCCAACCUGGCUUUGAAUAUGUCCACAGUUUAUCUGGGUGCCCUGUGCCAGGGCCUCCCCACCCUCCCUAAUUCCCUAAUACCCCAUCUAACCUUUCCCUGUGCCUGUUGAAGCCCUUCCCCUUUAUCCUGGCACUCCAUGCUCUUGUAAAAAGUCCCCCUCCAGCUUUCCUGUGGGUUAUAGAAAGCAGUUGUGCCUAUUUGGAUAGUGAAUGUGAAUAAAAUUGAUUUUUCAAAGCUGA
Molecule: long non-coding RNA, 561 nt
Organism: Agelaius phoeniceus (red-winged blackbird)
Lineage: Eukaryota; Metazoa; Chordata; Aves; Passeriformes; Icteridae
Source: RefSeq, a predicted model, not a curated record